Molecule: RNA transcript, 9092 nt
Organism: Diorhabda sublineata
Lineage: Eukaryota; Metazoa; Arthropoda; Insecta; Coleoptera; Chrysomelidae
Gene name: PX domain-containing protein kinase-like protein
Exons: 10
Source: RefSeq, a predicted model, not a curated record
UUUUUAAUUGUCAAAAUACUGAUAGUAAAAUCAGAAAUGGUAGGGUUGGGAAUGAUCAAUUAGGUUGUAUAUAAAUUAUUUCUUAAUGGAUUUUACACACAAAAAUAGGCAAAUGAAUUCGAUUCAAUGGCUAUUUUUGAGCGACAAACCACCAAUAAAGUGUUAUUAGAUGAUACGGAACAAUUAACAUGUACUAUUGAGAACUGGAAAAACGUCAAUGGUCACACUGAAUUUAUUAUAAAAGUAUAUAGAGGACCUUUUUCGGAUCAAACGUGGAAAAUAAGUAAAAGAUACAAUGAUUUUUGUAAGUUGCACAAUGCAUUGCAGUCUUCUGGGAUACCCCUGGAACUACCUCCAAAAAAACUCAUUGGAAAUAUGGACCCACAUUUUCUUGGCGAAAGGCAACAGGGCUUACAGAAAUAUCUAGACAGCAUCCUAAUGAAUCCAAUACUAGUUUCAUCACUUCCAGCUAGAUCAUUUGUUGAUCCAGCAAAUUAUUGCCAACCAUUUAGAGAGUUGGCUUUACAACAUGUAUCUUUGGCGCUGAGAGGGGAAGUUGGCUGGGAAGUUGUAGGUCCAAUCAAUGAUAUGGGUUGGAGAUUAAGGAAACAUUAUUAUGAAUUAAAAUGUAAAUCUUUACCCAAGGAAGAAAUAUUUGGAGGAUGGACUGAUUACGGUCCCGAUAAAUAUUUGGAUGAUCGAGAGAUGCAUGCUGUUUUUAAAAGCAUCGGUCAGCUACAGCAUCCAUAUAUAUAUCCCAUUGAGCUGUGUUUAUCUACCGAAACUGGGGCAUUGGUGGCUCGAUUGGCACAUAAAAAUGGGACAUUGAGAGAUCUCCUUUCUGGAGCUAAACCGAGACAAUCAUUUUUAAAAAAAUACGGAAAUCCCAAGGGACAUAAAACACUCACGGCAGAGCAAAUAUCUUUGUAUGGUCGGCAAAUAUUAGAGGCGUUGAAGUUUUUACAUGAUAAAGGAUUACCUUAUGGUCAUUUACACACUGGAAAUAUCAUAAUCGAUAACGAUCGAGUAAAACUUCUGGAUAUAGAAAAUGGAGUAUUGGGUGUGCCUUCAUUUUACCGACCAUAUUUUAUGCAACAUAAGAAAAUAAAUAAUUUAGAAGCCAUAGAUGUCUACUGUUUUGGACACGUACUUUACGAAAUGAUGUUUGGGGCUCCGUUGCAUGAAAGCAUAGUUGAUAAUAUGCCAAAUUAUCCUGUAACUGAACUCAGAGAUCUACUUUCUCGAAUACUGUCAUCGGAAGGAUGCAAACAUGGUUUACCGACCAUAAGCGAUCUCUUGUUCGAUCCAUUCUUCUCGGUAGUUCAUUUAUCAUUUUUGCCCACUGACAAAGCUCAUUUAAAACUUGCCACUUCAACGAAGGAACAAUUAAAGCAUGCUGUUCACAAAAUUGAGGAAAGGUUGAGGGAUGAACAAAAAGUUGUCAGGAGUCAAAAAAAGUUGGUCAAAGUCCAAGAAAUGAUGAGUUGUGAAGAAGAGAAAAAGAAGCAAGCUAGACACAAAAUGGAAAGAUUAGCUAAGGAACAACAUAAACACAACAGAAGACUGGAAAAGGCUAACAGUAUUAAUGGUGAGAGAUCUGAAAGUGUAAAUAGCAGUGGAGCCACUUCAGUUGGUACAUCCACCCCUCCCUCGACGACUGGAUAUAAUGUUCCAUCGCCACCUCCGCCUCCUCCACCGCCACCUGUGCCGCCAAUAGGUGAUGACAUGCCAUCACUUAUCAAUGGAUCUUCUGUUCCUACAGGGAAUAAAGACCGUUCCGAAUUACUAGGAGCCAUUUGCAAUUUUAAUAAAUCUGCCUUGCGUAAAACCAAAGUUUCUUGAAUUUAUAUUAAAAGAAGAGGUACAGCGGGUAAAGUCGCUUUUAAACAGCAUCUCGUCCCUUACCUAAUUGUGACUGAAAGAAGCAGUACUGAAAGAAGAAGUAACAGCGUUUCUUCUGCGGCCGUUAUUAUAAAGGUCGCAUUUACCUUUAUACAUUAGACUCACUUGCUGGUCUUAUGCUUAUUUAUUGAGUGGAUAAAUCUAACGAACAAGGAUGUAAUUAGAAUUUUUAUUUUAUGCCAUUUUUAUUCUAUGCCAUUCGCAUUUAAAAAAGUAUUUGUUAACUAGUUGUUUAGUAAGUUUUUAAGAUUUAUAUUUCUCAUUAGAUAUUUUAAACAAUUUAAUUCGAUUUAUUAAAAUGGUUGAGUCAAGCAAAAGUAUGAAAUAAUACAAUACACAUUUAAUUUUAUAUUACAAUAAUAAGCAUAUUUUGAUCAUGUUGCAGAUAACGGCGUAUCUUUAUGAUUUCAUAUCUAUUUAGACAUCUAUAAUCUUGGCAGCUCAGUUUUUCAUUGCAUUCUUUUUUUCUCAUGCUAUCCUUCACUUGACUUGAAAUAUUGCUCGGUAGUCAAUACGAUGGUAAAAUCAUUACCUCUAUUUUUCUCAAUCAACGUAAUGAGUUUUUUUCCAAAGUAUGCUGAUCAGCCUCCAUUGUUACAAUAAAUGAUUUACUCACAAAUUUUUAUGAAUAAUGCAAAAACCACUGACAAACAAACUGCACGUUAGCACUAAUUUAAGGUUAGGUUGAUUUUUUUUGCAAAUUAAGACAAAAGGCGAAUUUCGGCAUCUGGCAUGUCUAGCAUCUGCCUCCAACAUAUUAAUUCUACCAACAGCCUAGUGGGGAUCUUAUUCUUAUAUUAUUGGCAAACCUUUUUUAAUAAAUAUUUGGAAUUGUUAAUUAUAAAACCAAAAUAAAAAAAAAUUAUUCUUGAUCGUUAGAAAUGUUGGUGGAUAUUCUUACUAGAGAAACAUUUGUAAAUUAAUUUUUUGUACGUAAAAUUUUUUGUUUUUAUCUAUUUAAGUAUUCGAUUAUAUAAUAUAUAUUUGAUAUAAGUUCGAUUCUCUAAUCAUAAUAAUAAUACUAAUCAAAGGUUGCCCUUAAUAAUUUUACAUUUUUUUAUUCAAUCAUUAUUUAUAAUUAACGAAUUUCAUUUUUGCAUUGCAUUUUUACAGUAAACUAAUUUUCACUUACUGUUAUGUCCUCAGUAUUAACAGUAAAUGUAAAUAGAUGCAUUCCACCAAUUACCUUUUUAUGUACUAAAUCUGGUCUUUUCUCGCUAGGAAUUUCGCGUUUUAACCAUAAUUCUAUCACCUCCAUUUUCCUUUUUUUUUUUAAUAGCGAAUCUCAUGAUUAUAUAUCAUUUAUUUAUAUUAUGGCUUCUAUUCACUAUUUCCCGUAUAUUCCUGUAGAGGAGCAAUUCCUAUAUUAGGUCCCAAUCCAACAAUCCUCCUAUUAAAAUUUUCCUUAUCCUAUCAAAUUCUAGUAAAUCUCACAUUUAGAUAAACGGUAGAAUAUAAACUGCUUCGGGGAAAUUGUGAAAGUAUACAGAACUUUUUGAGUACUAUAGAUUCAGUUUAGUUCAGCGGUCGCCAACCUUUUUCAUGGGUUAAUCAAUUUCGAAAAUUUUGGAAUAGAGAGUGAGCUACUUAUCUGUAAAAUAUGUAAUACAUUUAUUAACAUCAAAUAAUAAAAAUACUGCUCUUACAAAAUAACCAGAGGUUUGCUUUUUAUGGUAGUGUUUCAACACUUUUUUGGUCCCUUGUUAUUAGGGUUAAAUCAUCAGCAUAUGCUAUCAUUUAUUUUGAUUUAUUAAUGAUACUUCCAUCCAUAUUAAUGUCCUUAUUAUGCCAUCUGACCUUAUCUCAUGUAUUAUUUCAAACUCCUUAGGCCAUUUGGUCUUUCUAUUGUCAUUACCCUUUCCCUAAAAUUUAGCAUAGUUAUUUUCACUAAUUUUCAUAUUAACUUUUGGAUUAUGUCAGUGUCCUUUAUAAUGGUCCUCCUUUUCAGACUGUCGGAUGCUUAUUUGGAGUCUAUGAAUAAAAUUUGCAAUUCCAAUAUUGUGCUUAUAGCAUUUUUCGAUCAAUUGUUUUAUAGUGUCAAUGGUAUCCACUGUUUUUUUUGUCUAAAACCUUUUUGAUACAUACCCAAAUAAUAAACUAUUUUGUAAACAAUUCUUCAACUGUUCUUGGUUUUGUUUUCGUUUUUUCAUAUACUUUUGUCCUACAUUUCUGUUGAAUGAUUGUUGAUUAUUAGCAAUUACAUUCUAAUUUGCUCGUAGCAUUUUUCGAUCACUUGUUUUAUAGUAUGAAUGGCAUCUACUGUUGAUUUUUAUAGUCUAAAACUUUUUUGAUAUACCCCUGUUUCUGGUUCCACAACUUUCAAUAUUUUAUUUAAUUAUUAUAUAUAUACAAUAUUAAGCAAACUAAUCCAACUAUAAUUGCUACAUAUGCAGGGAUUUUAAAAUUGAUACAAAUUUUUUUCCCCAUUCACUUGAUAAAAUUUGUUAGAUUUUUAUUUGAAAUUUUACUUUUAUUCAGUUUCAGUCUCCAAUUUUUUUCACAUAAGUAGUAUUUUUACUUUCUGGAUACAACUUCCCUUAUCAGUUUAAUAAUAAAAUCAUUUUCAAGUGUAUUAAAGUAAUUUACAGACUUGGUGACAAAACAAGCCAAAUGAAAUUAAUUAUUCGAUUAGUCUUCAAAGUCUAUGAAUAAAAGUGAGUUAGUUGCAGCUCGAUACGGAGUAAGUUCGAUUUUUACCAAUUUUCUUGACUAAUUAUACCAGCGAAAAAAUUUUUGUUUCAACCAAGCAGCUUUGUAAUACCUGUAUUGGGAAAAAUUUAUUUUCUUUGGUUCUUUUUCAACAUAGUGGCUCUGGACAUGGUAGUUUAUGUCAUUCCUAGUGUCAUUUGUGGUGAAGUUUGCUCAACAUGUCCAGCAGCACAUUCUUAGACACAAAGGUUUCUACUGUCAACGGCACUUUGGGCCAUUCCAACUUACAAAACUUGUUCAAAGCGAAUCACUUCAUCAAAACUUUAUUUAUUGGAGUCGUUUUGAAUUUUUUAUUCCAUCAAUUUCUAACAAUAUGAUAAUACGUAGAAUGUCACAAUUUUACAAUAUUCAUUUUCGAAAACCUGUUGUGAGCCACCCCUUGUUCCCUUUACUUCCUAUUUUUCAAAAGCUGCUAUCUUUACUGGCUUCCUUUUCCGAUUCAAAAUUGGUUCAGUUUUCGACAAUUGGCACUAGAGAUGAAGAAGAUAAGCCAAAUGAUAUUUAGAAACUUCUCAUUCACUAUUGGUAUUUUUUAGUUAAUUCUAUGCUGUACCUAUCAUAUUAUACAUUUAUUUUUAUUGUCUAUAUUGUUAGUCAAGGGGACAAGAUUAAAUUUGUGUUUUGAAUGUCUUUCAAUGUGGUAAGAAAAUUUCAUAACGACAUUUGUACAUAUUAUAAUCUCUGGUAAAAUCGUAUCUAUAAAAUGAAUUUUUUCAUAAAUGAAUACCAGCUCUGUAACAUUUAGAGUUGUUGUAUAUAUUAAAUUUAAGGUAUAUUUGUGAUAAAUAAAUAUGUGAAUGUAACUUUUAUUGAUUAAUUUAAAUCAAAUAUCAAGUAUAAAAUUUGUUACUACCGUCUUGAGUGAUGGGUACAAUGUCAAAUUCUAUUCUUUUCCACUAAUUUUAAUAAUUGUCUUUAUUCUAUUCUUGUAUCUUUAACUUUAAUGUUCGAAAAUGUUUUAUGAUGUAAAAAUUCACUAUGACCCAUUUAUAGCUUACUUAAAAUUUAUUUCUUCCAUACUACUACUACUGUGGCCACUUAAAUCCAAGUUGGUUUUUGCCUUGCCAACAAGUUACGUCCAUUUUUUAAAGAAGAAACUAUAAACAAUGCAUCGAAUUAUAUUUUUUGUCAUCGAAGGUUUUUACAACUAUUAUUCCAGUGCUAACAACUCCAAAAAAAAAUUAAUUUCAUAGAAAAGUGUUAUUUUCGAUGACCUACCCAACGCUUUCACAAUUUUAAACACAAUGGCAUUCACCUUUGUCUCUAUUGAGAUUUCUUUAUACCAAUUCAGAAUGUUUUGCUUCUCCGUAGACGAUAACUGGCCAUAAAUUGCAAAGCCCCCCUAUUUGGGGUGCGAAUGAUCUCUGCUAAUACUUGGGUCAUUUUUCAAAUUAGUCCCGACAAGAAUUGUUUUCAUAUUUUAAUAAAAUAAUAACAAGAACGCAAGAAAUAACAAAACGUUUACAAUUUAUACAAUUGUCAAUCAUAAUACGGGAGCCGUUUUUUUUUCAACCUCCGAUCACUCUCUGCAGACGCUACGCGGGCAGAAGAAGACGGGUAUGCGCUGUAGGCGACUGCAAAGCUCUGGCACUACAAACUUCGCUAUUGUUGACGUCAGUCGGCGUUUUCUACAGACUGAAGGCCGUAGUGCUGCAGAAAUCCAUCGGAAAAUGAUUCGUGUGUAUGAGAAAAACUUCAUGAGUGAUGGUGUUGUGCGUGAAUGGUGUCGAAAGUUUAUGCAUUAUGAAGGGGGCCAAGGACGCAAAUCCGUCGUUUCAGAUGACCUGGUUCACCGAGUUGACAGAAUGGUUAAAGAAAACCGCAGAUUUACCAUUACUGCUUUGUCUAUGGAAUUUCAACAUCUGUUUUGUACUCUAUUGUUACUGAACGGUUAGGCUACACUUUCUUUGAGUAUUGAGAGCAUUUCCACAUAUAUGACAAAUGUAUCAAUCUCUUCGGUGAUUAUGUCGAAAAGUAACCGUAAGUGUCUAUCGGAGGUUGAAUAAAAAAUGACCGUCGUGUAUGUCAAAAGUGCUGCGAUUUGACCAAUCAGAAAUCUACAAAAUUGCCGACUUAAAUUCAAAUACGUUUAAAAACAGGGUAUCGUAACGAAUGUAUCUUUACUCCUUCGAGGUGUAUCUAAAAUUGUGCAGUACACAGUCAAUGUAAGAAAUGUGUAACGUUUUCAGUAACUAUAAAUUUCUGAUAUACCAAGGGUCUAGGACAUUGCUGAAGCAGUGCAGAAUGUUCUCCAAUAAAUACAAUGUCCAAAAAAUUUUUUCUAUCCCUAUGGUAACCUUCAACAAGUAUAGAUCAUAUUAUUUAUUCAUAUGUUGGUAUUGCAUAUUAGUCUGUACAUAUUUUGAAGUCAUAGUUUUAUUAAUUAAGAGACAUGUAAUCUUUCAGUGGAUUUAAAUAAAAAUUCAUCUGUCAACUUUUAUAAAAUAGAACCAAGUACUCUUAUACACGCUCCUUUUAAUGAUCUUAUUAUAAGUGAGGCUUGGCAUUGCAAAACUCACUGUAUCCAUUUUUGGAAAAUUUUUUUCCAAACUCAUUCAUCACAUCUAAAUAGCGAUUCUGAUAAGAAAAUUUAAACAGGGCUGCGGAAUUGUUUUAAUUAUAACAUUUCAAAGUUUGGAUAAAGUGAGUUUUGCAGAGAAACUGUGGAUAAGGAAUAAUUUGCACCGUCAUUAGAUGGAUAUAGGAAUAUUUGCACGAACACAAUUAAAAAUGUAUUAAUGCAAAAAAUUAGAUAAUUUUUAUAGUAAAAAAGCACUCAAAAAAUACAAGCAGCAUUAAAAUUGAUAAAAUUUAUUAUUGAUAAAUGUUUUAAACUCUUACUGCAUGAUCCUCCUCAUGACCUUCACAUUUACACUCAUCUUCAAAUGCUAAAUUGUCAGAAACUAUUGCAUGAUCAAUAACAGUUUUAUAAAAAUUGCAUUCUUCUAAAUGGCGCCACUCAUUUCCAAAGUGCUUGGAUAAUAAUUCGUCGAAUGUCAUUGAUCUUGUCUUGUUUCACAUGAUUUACUUCAUGUAGUUUAACUUUUGAUAGGUUGAUACCCUUCUUAGAAACAAACUUGAAUUGGCCUACAUCUGAGUUAAAGAAAAGCUCUCCAACUAUCGAGAAGAUUUCUUGAAUAAAAAGCGUUUUGCUUCGUUAAAUGGGAAAUGCCAUCUAGCAGGCGUCUUGAAGUAAGCAGCAUUGAAACUUCUCCAGUCGUACACUUCAACUUCUCCCAGUUUCGAUACUGUGCAAUAUUCAGAAAAAAUUGAAUGGCAUUCAGAAGAGAUUAUUAUUUACCCUUUACUAUUAAUGCAAAUACUCUAUCGGGUGGUAAAAAAGAGUGUCCUGUAAUAGGAAAACACCAGUUCAAUCGACUUAAUCAAGUCAAGUCCAAAUAUCUCAGGAGGUGAAAAACUGCUGAUGCAAUUUCAUUUGAACUUUUUCUUUGUUUAAGUUCCAUCCAAGUAUAGCAAAAUAUGUUGUCCGGUGUGUUUGGAAAAUCCCGUCACAAUGGUGAAAUUGUAAAUAUACAAUUGUCUGCAGUAAUACCCACUUUGAUCUUUAAUCUUUGGUAAAACCAAAUUUUUUUGACAGUCGAAUGAUAUAAUAAGUAGGUCGCUUUGUUCGUCUUUUAGCUCGUUAUAAAAAGCUUUGUACCUUGCUUUGAGAACAGCAUGUUCGAUAAUCAAUUAUUUGAUUCUUGAACAUAUCUCUUUAUUUUCCCUUUGAGCUCAAUGCAUCCAUUAUUGGUGAACCGUACCCUAUGUUGUAUUCUUAUCAUGAGUUUUGGAGUGACACCCAUUUUUCUCGUGUGGUUCAGAAUCCACCGUUACUUUGAUAUUGGAAAAAUAUGGUUAUAGUGAGUUUUGCAAUGCCACGCCUCAAGUAAACUGUAUUAACAAUAUAAAAUUUCUGAUAUAGUAAUAUUAAUAUUUAUUGUAAUAUCAAAUAUUUUGUAAAAUAAAUGCUUUAAUUUUUGUACCUAGUCCAAUAUUAUGUCUAUAAAAAGUAACUCUCGCACAUUGUGAUUUGUGACAUUUGGCACUAAGAAUACAUAUAAAGUGGGGCCACAUAAUAUAGUUUUAUAUCGAAGCACUGCUAUGUGUAAAUGUCAUUGUUUAGAAUUUUUCCGAUUAUCCAAACGAAAUAAUUUAUAUUUUGUUAUAUAGUGCGUAAUUAACAAACUUUUUAUGCCAAUUCAUUAAUCGAAAUAUUAAUUAUUUCGUAAGUAGUUGUAAUAGUACAGUGUACAACACGUGCCGUAACUUAGUAUUUUAUAUUUAUGUAAUAUGACAGAAUCUUAUGAAAUAUUUUAUUUUCCGCACUAUCGUAAAUGUGUUGUAUCAGUAUGUGAAUGUUACUUCAUAAUCUUUUAGAUAUCGUUUUGGAAUAAAAGUAGUUGGAUGUUUUGAUAAGUAGUAUUAAUAUUGUUCAAAUAAUAUUUGUUAGAAAUACAACUUUUUUGAGUGAGCAAAAA